RNAcentral lists this ribosomal RNA (440 nucleotides) under uncultured bacterium. RNAcentral describes it as "partial 16S ribosomal RNA". It matches the Rfam family "Bacterial small subunit ribosomal RNA", at positions 338 to 795 of the family's 1533-position model. The record is from RNAcentral.
CCUACGGGAGGCAGCAGUGGGGAAUAUUGCACAAUGGGGGAAACCCUGAUGCAGCGAAGCCGCGUGAGUGAAGAAGUACUUAGUUAUGUAAAGCUCUAUUAGCAGGGAAGAAAAUGACGGUACCUGAGUCAGUAUCCACGGCUAACUACGUGCCAGCAGCCGCGGUAACACGUAGGGUGCAAGCGUUAUUCGGAUUUACUGGGUGUAAAGGGAGAGUAGAAGGCAGUGCAAGGUUGGAGGGAAAAUCGGGGGGUCAACCCUCGGACUGCUCUUGAAACUGUACGGCUGGAGUGCAGGAGAGGUAAGCGGAAUUCCUGGUGUAGCGGUGAAAUGCAUAGAUAUUACGAAGAACCCCAGUGGCGAAGGCGGCUUACUGGACUGUAACUGACGUUGAAGCUCGAAAGCGUGGGUAGCAAACAGGAUUAGAUACCCUUGUAGUC